GAUGAACGCUGGCGGCGUGCCUAAUACAUGCAAGUCGAGCGAACAGACGAGGAGCUUGCUCCGCUGACGUUAGCGGCGGACGGGUGAGUAACACGUGGAUAACCUACCUAUAAGACUGGGAUAACUUCGGGAAACCGGAGCUAAUACCGGAUAAUAUAGUGAACCGCAUGGUUCACUAGUGAAAGACGGUUUUGCUUUCACUUAUAGAUGGAUCCGCGCCGCAUUAGCUAGUUGUUAAGGUAACGGCUUACCAAGGCAACGAUGCGUAGCCGACCUGAGAGGGUGAUCCGACACACUGGAACUGAAAAACGGUCCAGAAUCCUACGGGAGGGAGCAGUAGGGAGUCUUCCGCAAUGGGCGAAAGCCUGACGGAGCAACGCCGCGUGAGGGAUGAAGGUCUUCGGAUCGUAAAACUCUGUUAUUAGGGAAGAACAAAUGUGUAAGUUAAUAUGCAUGUCUUGAAGGUACAUAAUCAGAAAGCCACGGCUAACUACGUG
This 497-nucleotide ribosomal RNA is filed under the name uncultured bacterium. RNAcentral's name for it is "partial 16S ribosomal RNA". It matches the Rfam family "Bacterial small subunit ribosomal RNA", at positions 28 to 507 of the family's 1533-position model. The record is from RNAcentral.